Mus musculus (house mouse) is the source of this 4166-nucleotide RNA transcript. It is a transcript of the gene named SAFB-like, transcription modulator, with no coding region annotated. Lineage: Eukaryota; Metazoa; Chordata; Mammalia; Rodentia; Muridae. The record is from RefSeq and is marked validated. The transcript is spliced from 21 exons.
CACACGCCCCCUCAUUUCGGUGAAGAGACGCACCUACUCUCCCUACUAUGGGGUGCCUCUCAAGUGGCGAUGGCUCUAGGUAAGAGAUGAGAGGAGAAGGAGGCUAAUGGAGAGGCGGGAACCGUGGUACCGAGGACAGCUGAGCGGUUGGACACGCGGAGACUUUCCCGGGACCACGCCAGAGGCCGAGCCACCGGUCCGCUGCGAGCUCCGCCCCCUCCAUGCCUGCUCAGUGCGCACGCGCACCCGUCAUCCGGGUGCCGCUGCAGGUUGCGCUGGAGCAGAGUCGGGGGCGUGGUCCCCGUGGGGGGGCGUGGUCAGUGGCUCAUUGUGCGCAGCGUAGCGCGGCGCCGCUGGCCGCCCGGGGCCCGGGUUGGAAGUUGGUGCUGCCGCGGCCACCGCCUCCACCGCCGCUGCCUCCUCCUCCGCCGCCGCCGCCGCCCUGCAGCCCACUAGCUGCCUCGGCAGCGCGUUGCUUUCCCAAAAUGGCUGCCGCUGCCGGGGCCGUGGUAGCCUCGGCCGCCUCUGGGCCGGCGGAAGGGAAGAAGAUCACGGAGCUGCGGGUUAUCGACCUCAGGUCCGAGCUGAAGCGCCGCAACUUGGACAUCAACGGGGUCAAGACGGUACUGGUCUCCCGGCUGAAGCAGGCUAUUGAAGAGGAAGGAGGCGAUCCAGAUAAUAUUGAAUUAACUGUUUCAACUGAUACUCCAAACAAGAAACCAACCAAAGGCAAAGGUAAAAAACAAGAAGCAGAUGAGUUGAGUGGAGAUGCUUCUGUGGAAGAUGAUUCUUUUGUCAAGGACUGUGAAUUGGAGAAUCAAGAGACACAUGACCAAGAUGGAAAUGAAGAGCUAAAGGACUUGGAAGAAUUUGGUGAAAAUGAAGAGGAAAUUGUGCAUUCCCAGGAGUUGCUUUCUACAGAAGAGAACAAGACAACUCAGGAAUUUGUAGAGGCAGAAGCAAUAGAAGAUAGAGAAAAAGAGGACAUCGAAAGUCAGGAAACUGAAGCUCAAGAAGGUGAAGAUGACACCUUUCUAACAGCUCAAGAUGGUGAGGAAGAAGAAAAUGAGAAAGAUAUAGCAGGUUCUGGUGAUGGCACACAAGAAGUAUCUAAACCUCUUCCUUCAGAAGGGAGCCUAGCUGAGGCUGAUCACACAGCUCAUGAAGAGAUGGAAGCUAAUGCGACUGGGAAAGAAGCUGAGGAUGACAACAUCUCGGUCACAAUCCAGGCUGAAGAUGCCAUCACUCUGGAUUUUGAUGGUGAUGACCUCCUAGAAACAGGUAAAAAUGUGAAAAUUACAGAUUCUGAAGCAAGUAAGCCAAAAGAUGUGCAGGACGCCAUUGCACAGAGCCCGGAGAAGGAAGCCAAGGAUUAUGAGAUGAACCCGAACCAUAAAGAUGGUAAGAAGGAAGACUCCGUGAAGGGUGAGCCUGUCGAGAAGGAAGCCAGAGAAAGUGCUAAGAAAGCAGAAUCUGGAGACAAAGAAAAGGAUACUUUGAAGAAAGGGCCCUCGUCUACAGGGGCCUCUGGUCAAGCAAAGAGCUCUUCAAAGGAAUCUAAAGACAGCAAGACAUCAUCUAAAGAUGACAAAGGGAGCACAGGCAGUGCUGGUGGGAGCAGUGGAAGCUCAACCAAGAACAUCUGGGUCAGUGGACUGUCUUCUAAUACCAAAGCUGCUGAUUUGAAGAACCUCUUUGGCAAAUAUGGAAAGGUUCUAAGUGCAAAGGUAGUUACAAAUGCUCGAAGUCCUGGGGCAAAAUGCUAUGGCAUCGUAACCAUGUCUUCAAGCACAGAAGUGUCCAGAUGUGUUGCACAUCUCCAUCGCACAGAGCUGCAUGGACAACUGAUUUCUGUGGAGAAAGUCAAAGGUGAUCCUUCUAAGAAAGAAAUGAAGAAAGAAAAUGAUGAGAAGAGUAGCUCACGGAGCGCUGGUGAUAAAAAGAACGCGAGUGAUCGGAGUGCCAAUUAUUCUGUUUUUUUGUCUUGAAUGAUAUGGUCAGGACACAAGCAUCUAUUAAAAAAGAAGAGAAAAGGUCAUCUGAGAAAUCAGAAAAAAAAGAAAGCAAAGAUACUAAGAAAAUAGAGAAAGAUGAGAAGAACGACGAUGGUCCAAGUGGGCAGACUUCAGAGUCCCUGAAAAAGAGUGAAGAGAAGAAGCGGAUAAGUUCAAAGAGUCCAGGACAUAUGGUGAUACUAAACCAAACCAAGGGAGAUCAUUGUAGGCCGUCAAGAAGGGGCAGAUAUGAGAAAGGUCAUGGAAGAAGCAAAGAAAAGGAGAGGGCUAGCCUAGAUAAAAAAAGAGACAAAGACUACAGAAGGAAAGAGAUCUUGCCUUUUGAAAAGAUGAAGGAACAAAGAUUGAGAGAACAUUUAGUUCGUUUUGAAAGACUGAAACAAGCAGUGGAAUUCAGAAGACGAAAAGAGAUUGCAGAAAGAGAGCGUCGAGAGCGUGAACGCAUUAGAAUAAUUCGUGAACGGGAAGAACGGGAACGCUUACAGAGAGAGAGAGAGCGCCUAGAAAUUGAAAGGCAAAAACUAGAGAGAGAGAGAAUGGAACGCGAACGCUUGGAAAGGGAACGCAUUCGUAUUGAACAGGAGCGGCGCAGGGAAGCUGAAAGGAUUGCUCGGGAGAGAGAGGAGCUCAGAAGGCAGCAGCAGCAGCUUCGCUAUGAACAAGAAAAAAGGAAUUCUUUGAAACGCCCACGUGACGUAGACCAUAGGCGAGAUGACCCUUACUGGAGCGAGAAUAAAAAGUUAUCUCUAGAUACAGAGGCACGAUUCGGCCAUGGGUCUGACUAUCGUCAACAGAGCAGGUUCCUUGACUUCAGUCACCGAGAACGGGCCAGGUUUCCUGACACUGCAUCUGUGCAGUCAUCCUUUGAAAGACGGGAACGGUUUGUUGGUCAAAGUGAAGGAAAGAAACCGAGACCAGCAGCCCGAAGAGAAGAGCCAAGUUUUGAAAGGUACCCUAAAAACUUCAGUGAUUCCAGAAGAAAUGAGCCUCCACCACCAAGAAAUGAACUUAGAGAAACAGACAGACGAGAGGUCCGAGGGGAGAGAGACGAGAGAAGAACAGUAAUCCUUCAUGACCGACCUGAGGUCGCUCACCCCAGACACCCUCGAGAGACUGUGCCCAAUCCUUCUAGACCAACUUCCUGGAAAAGCGAAGCGAAUAUGUCCACAGAGAAACGGGAGUCACGAGUUGAAAGGCCAGAAAGAUCUGGGAGAGAAGUCUCUGGACACACUGUGAGGGGAGCGCCCCCCGGGAAUCGGAGUAGUGCCUCAGGCUAUGGAACCCGAGAGGGAGAGCGAGGAGUCAUUGCUGACAGAGGAAGCGGAACACAGCACUACCCUGAAGAACGACAUGUCGUGGAACGUCAUGGACGGGACACAAGUGGACCAAGGAAAGAGUGGCAUGGCCCACCCUCUCAGGGGCCUAGCUACCAUGACACAAGACGAAUGGGUGAUGGCCGAGCAGGAGCAGGCAUGAUAACCCAACACUCAAGCACUGCGUCCCCAGUGAACAGGAUUGUACAGAUGAGUGGUAACUCCUUGCCAAGAGGAAGCAGCUCGGGGUUUAAGCCGUUUAAGAGUGGACCUCCACGGCGAUUUUAACGCAAGCUUCCUGCUGUGGCUUCAAGAUAAUUUAUUGAGAUCUCCUGUAAACGUUCCCUGACUGCUUACUAGGAGAACCUCUGACUGCUUGAGAGUUCUAGCUGACUGUUGUUUUUCUUUAUAAAAAAAUUUAACACGAUUUCUUUUCUCAACUUUAGAGAAGAUGUUUAAAUAGUUCUGUUGAAACUUUUCAUAGUUUUGUGUACCAUUCAACCUUUUCUUGCAGCACUGAGACCCAUUUGAAAGGAUUGGCACAAGGCUGUUCUGUUUGGCACUGUGUGAACAUGAGUGGUUUGCAGCUGAAUGGUAGUGGUUUCAUUUGCAGCGUAGCUCUGUGGUGUCACCAGUGUUGGCUGCCUCCAUUUUGAAGGCUAUUUGAGCUUCAAAAGCCUGCUGUCUAAUUUUUAGAGAAUAAGAUUGUUCCCUGCAUUUCGGAGUAUUAUGUAACCUAUUUUUGCAGAAGGUACUGUUACAUUAAGUGCAUCUGUGUAUCCUGGUUAAAAAAAAAAUGUAAUCUUUUUGGAAAUAAACCUUCAUAUUCUGUAUAGUU